Long non-coding RNA from Nilaparvata lugens (brown planthopper), 272 nucleotides. RefSeq lists it as uncharacterized. The record is from RefSeq and is a predicted model, not a curated record. NCBI's taxonomy places the organism in Eukaryota, Metazoa, Arthropoda, Insecta, Hemiptera, Delphacidae. The transcript has 2 exons.
UUUAAAGGCCUGCAAAAUCCCAAGGAGGCUGGCGGCGGAAAUAGAUGCUACAGUGGAGGAGGCUCUGGAGAGGCAGGAUAUAUUUGAGUGAAGGACAUUAGAAACAAUGUAAGGAAAAGUGAUUUGUAAGGAGUACUCUGGAGAGGAGGGUACAGUGUCUGUAGGCACCAUUUUGCUUGGAACCAGUUGCAGUUGUUGGCGAAUGGCGGCCGUUAAAGGGUGAUUCAGAGCAAGUGCCUCCAUUAUGAAUGAGCUGAGUGGAGCCACAGCUG